UGGGGAAUAUUGGACAAUGGGCGAAAGCCUGAUCCAGCCAUGCCGCGUGUGUGAAGAAGGUCUUCGGAUUGUAAAGCACUUUAGGUGGGGAGGAGGGGCGUUAGCCGAUUACCUUGCGGUUUUAACUUUACGGAAAAAUAAGGCACGGGUUACUUUGGGCCAGCCGCCGCGGUAAUACAGAGGGUGCAAGCGUUAAUCGGAAUUACUGGGCGUAAAGCGCGCGUAGGUGGUUCGUUAAGUUGAAUGUGAAAGCCCCGGGCUCAACCUGGGAACUGCAUCCAAAACUGGCGAGCUAGAGUAGGGCAGAGGGUGGUGGAAUUUCCUGUGUAGCGGUGAAAUGCGUAGAUAUAGGAAGGAACACCAGUGGCGAAGGCGACCACCUGGGCUCAUACUGACACUGAGGUGCGAAAGCGUGGGGAGCAAACAGG
This 428-nucleotide ribosomal RNA is filed under the name Pseudomonadota bacterium. RNAcentral's name for it is "Proteobacteria bacterium partial 16S ribosomal RNA". It matches the Rfam family "Bacterial small subunit ribosomal RNA", at positions 355 to 776 of the family's 1533-position model. Lineage: Bacteria; Pseudomonadati; Pseudomonadota. The record is from RNAcentral.